AUGGCCGUAUCACGUUGACACAUCGGUUUCCAACCGAUCACUGAAGUUAAGCAACGUCGUGCUUGGUCGGUACCUAGAUAGGUGACCACUUUGAAAUACCAAGUGAAGU
Non-coding RNA from Acanthosepion pharaonis, 109 nucleotides. The record is from the annotation of a GenBank genome assembly. NCBI's taxonomy places the organism in Eukaryota, Metazoa, Mollusca, Cephalopoda, Sepiida, Sepiidae.